This is a regulatory RNA element of 138 nucleotides. It matches the Rfam family "Ribosomal protein L10 leader". Rfam says of the family: This family is a putative r-protein leader autoregulatory structure found in B. subtilis and other low-GC Gram-positive bacteria. It is located in the 5' untranslated regions of mRNAs encoding ribosomal proteins L10 and L12 (rplJ-rplL). The record is from Rfam.
AAUAAAAUAACAUUUGUACCGCAGACAGCAGGGGCUUAUAGCUUAAUAACCUGCCGAGGUCAUACGAUAGAGCAACACUUUUACUAUUGUAUACUUCCUCCGUGUCUGUCAUAGAUGCGGAGGUUUUUAUUUGAUCGG